UACAUAGGGUGCAAGCGUUGUCCGGAAUUAUUGGGCGUAAAGAGCUCGUAGGUGGUUCGUUACGUCGGAUGUGAAAAUCUGGGGCUCAACCCCAGACCUGCAUCCGAUACGGUCGAGCUAGAGUUUGGUAGGGGAGACUGGAAUUCCUGGUGUAGCGGUGGAAUGCGCAGAUAUCAGGAGGAACACCAAUGGCGAAGGCAGGUCUCUGGGCCAAUACUGACACUGAGGAGCGAAAGCGUGGGGAGCGAACAGG
This 253-nucleotide ribosomal RNA is filed under the name uncultured bacterium. RNAcentral's name for it is "partial 16S ribosomal RNA". It matches the Rfam family "Bacterial small subunit ribosomal RNA", at positions 524 to 776 of the family's 1533-position model. The record is from RNAcentral.